AACGCACCUUGCACUCCUUGGUAUUCCGAGGAGCAUGCCUGUUUGAGUGUCAUUAAAUUCUCAACUUCAUCAGUUUUCAUGCAAGACUGUGUGAAGCUUGGAUAUGUUGGGGGUUGUGCAGGAAAAACACAUUUUGAGCCUGCUCUCCUUAAAUUGAUUAGCAAGUUCAAACUGGGCUUCUGUCUAUUGGUGUGAUAAUUAUCUACACCGUGGAUUGAGCUUAGACUUGCUUCUAACUGUCUGAAAGGACAAAUGUACUUUGAUAAAUUUGACCUCAAAUCAGGUAGGACUACCCGCUGAACUUAA
This 306-nucleotide unclassified non-coding RNA is filed under the name uncultured Psathyrella. RNAcentral's name for it is "sequence contains ITS2". Lineage: Eukaryota; Fungi; Basidiomycota; Agaricomycetes; Agaricales; Psathyrellaceae. The record is from RNAcentral.